UUACUACUGUUAAGAUAUCAGGAUAUUGUGCUGUGAAUAUUUUUGUGGUUUUUUUUUUUUGCUUUUGUUGCUGCUGAUAAUUUGUAAAAUUUUCAUUUUUACUGUACAUUUCCUUUACUUUUUGUUAAAUUUUCAUUUACACUUCAUGUCCUUUUUGUAUAUAAAGUAUUCGUUUAUAGAUUAAACAGAAUAGACAUAUACUGUGUAUUAAGAAAGGUUAAAACGGAAUCAUUGGGGGUCUGGAAUGGAUUAAUUCGCUUUACAUUAUUUCUAAUGGGGAAAAAUGAUUCGGUUUUCGAACAACCUUCCGGAACGAAUUAAGUUUGAGAAACGAGGUUACACUGUACCUAGAUUUGAUGUGGAGACAUUUUUAAUACAAAUGUCUAUUUUUUCCUUAGUUUGGAUAUAGAUUGACUAAUAUUUUAUAAAAUAUUCAUAGACACGUGAAUAUUGAUACACACUGUACACACACCUGUUUCAUCUUAUCAAGCAAUAUUACAAACACCACCAAAGGAUUUUUUUUUUUUU
Myotis myotis is the source of this 528-nucleotide long non-coding RNA. RefSeq lists it as uncharacterized. Lineage: Eukaryota; Metazoa; Chordata; Mammalia; Chiroptera; Vespertilionidae. The record is from RefSeq and is a predicted model, not a curated record. The transcript has 2 exons.